AGCGAACGCUGGCGGCAGGCUUAACACAUGCAAGCCGAACGCCCCGCAAGGGGAGUGGCAGACGGGUGAGUAACACGUGGGAACGUACCCUUUGGUUCGGAAUAACUUGGGGAAACUCAAGCUAAUACCGGAUAAGCCCUUAUGGGGAAAGGUUUACCGCCGAAGGAUCGGCCCGCGUCUGAUUAGCUAGUUGGUGAGGUAAUGGCUCACCAAGGCGACGAUCAGUAGCUGGUCUGAGAGGAUGAUCAGCCACACUGGGACUGAGACACGGCCCAGACUCCUACGGGAGGCAGCAGUGGGGAAUAUUGGACAAUGGGGGCAACCCUGAUCCAGCCAUGCCGCGUGAGUGAUGAAGGCCUUAGGGUUGUAAAGCUCUUUUACCCGGGACGAUAAUGACUGUACCGGGAGAAUAAGCCCCGGCUAACUUCGUGCCAGCCGCCGCGGUAA
Molecule: ribosomal RNA, 447 nt
Filed under: uncultured bacterium
Lineage: Bacteria
Description: partial 16S ribosomal RNA
Rfam family: Bacterial small subunit ribosomal RNA
Source: RNAcentral